RNAcentral lists this ribosomal RNA (320 nucleotides) under uncultured Prevotella sp. RNAcentral's name for it is "partial 16S ribosomal RNA". The record is from RNAcentral. Lineage: Bacteria; Pseudomonadati; Bacteroidota; Bacteroidia; Bacteroidales; Prevotellaceae.
GGAGUUUGGACCGUGUCUCAGUUCCAAUGUGGGGGACCUUCCUCUCAGAACCCCUACCGAUCGAUGGCUUGGUGGGCCGUUACCCCGCCAACUACCUAAUCGGACGCAUCCCCAUCCAUGGCCGGUAAACCUUUAGUCCUCGUUAGAUGUCUGCAAAGGACGCCAUAGGGCAUUAAUCCGCUUUUCAACGGGCUAUUCCCUAGCCAUGGGCAGGUUGGAUACGCGUUACUCACCCGUGCGCCGGUCGCCGUCUAUCAAAGCAAGCUUCGAUAAUGCUGCCCCUCGACUUGCAUGUGUUAAGCCUGUAGCUAGCGUUCAUC